Macadamia integrifolia is the source of this 3480-nucleotide RNA transcript. It is a transcript of the gene named putative recombination initiation defects 3, with no coding region annotated. The transcript has 11 exons. The record is from RefSeq and is a predicted model, not a curated record. Lineage: Eukaryota; Viridiplantae; Streptophyta; Magnoliopsida; Proteales; Proteaceae.
AACCAAAGAUGAGACAAAACAACACCACCGGCCGCCACCGUUGAAAACCAAUUAGGAGUAGUUACCUUGCAAUUUUCAUGCUCCUUUCAUUGACUUGACACCCACAAGGCCACACCUACUUAAUUCCAUUUCAUGUUAUAAGAAAUUUCAUUGUUGAGGAGGAGUUCAAGCACCUAUCACUCCUAGAUGAAAAUGGUUGAUGCUUUAUCUAGUUCGUAUCCGGUGUUGAGUUGUUUUAUGGAUCUUCUUUUGCUUCUUUGCACUCCUAGAUUGGAUUCUCAAAUUGAUUCAAGUGAGAUGAUCAGGAAAGAAGAAGAAGAUGAAGAUGAUGGUGAGUCUCCCCAAGCAAUUGUUACAGCCCAAGAACACUUUAGGCAAGUUCAAUGUAUUCGUGGACCAUAGAUCAUAAGUUUCCAUUUGCUUUAAAGUCUUAUAGAUGAUUAUGGAUGAUGGAUGAUGGAUGAUGGAUGAUGGAUGAUCUUACUGGGAUAGUAUUUGUGUAGUUUAAUAGUUAUUUUUCCCACUUUUAAUGCAUCUAUUAUUUGAAUAUUUCUGAUUUGAGAAGGCAAGUAUAAGUUUGAUUUGUAAAACUUGUUUGGAGCUAUUGAUAACAGAGAUUGGAUGCUUAAAAGCUACAAUAUUACAUAUGGACUAGUCAUGCAGGUUCUUUUGAAUAUCUGUGUUAGAGGUAUGAGAUGAAGAAGUCUCUCUAUGUAUACUUCCAUUUUUUCCUUUCUUUUUUUUUUUUUUUUUUCUAUUCAAGUCUCUUUUGGAUUCGGCUCCUCUAUUGCCUGGUGUGGUGUGCAGUGUACAUUCGGCGGCUGUUAGCACUCAGGCACACAUCACAGCACACGGGUGGACAUCCAAGGGGUGCACAGCCUUUGGAUGUGUGCCACACACCAUAAGACGCCACAAAGGAGCCUCACUCAUCUCUUUUUUAUCUAUUUCUAUGUGACCAAACACAGUCAAUCUUAUAUAAGACUUUGCUUUUCAUCAUGACAAACAAACAUAGCCUAAUGUUCGGGGUUCAUAUUAUAAGGGGUUGAAUAGGUCAUUUUUUUGGGUAGAAAAAUAUGAUCAUAUAAGUGAAGGAAAUUUUUAAAAUAUAAGUAGAGAGUUGCUCUCAGUAUAGAUCCUUUCCAACAUGCCUAGCUCCCUAAUGUGUAUCGGAUGGCUGGGAAGACCCGAGCACACACCCCUAGAUCCACUCAACCAUUGAUGUCUAUGCACUGGGGGCGUGAGAGAGGAUCCUGAUGCGAGUCUCCCCACCCGAGCAAGGCUCCUCUAUUUUGCAAUAAAGAUGGCAAUGCAGAUCCAACGCCCUGAAACUCUUUGGGGCAUAGGCUCGUGUAUUCGAUUCCAUGCCAGGACACUCCAAGACGUUGGAUUUACGCUACCACCUCUAUCGCGCAAUAAUGGAGUUGGGUCACACUCACUCCCAAGUCCCAACCCCACCAAUCCCUGGAAUUAUGAGAAAUAGAAAUGAAAAAAUGGACUUCUUAUUUUAUCAUGUGAGCUGGAACCGGGUUACAAGAAUGCGACGUGGCAACUUUCAAUUGUUGAUGCGGCGUUGCAACAUCCGGACUAGUGAAGGAGGUGUGGUCCACUAGUCCAAUGGUCCAACCAACGUUUAAAUUGGAUUUCCCGCCAGAAAUAUUACUUCAGGAUCACUAAGCCGCCAUGUAUAAAAGGCGACUGGGAAUCGAGAUUCGAGAAAAUCGCCCAUUCUGUGUCCAUUCAAGCUUUAAAUCGGAUGCUCAAAUCUAGAUCUCCUGCUCGAAAGAAGCUGCAAUUGAUUGAAGAAGUUACGAUACAGUUCACAGUCGUCACAUUAUCUAUCUUCUGCAACUGUCGAAACAAGCUACAAUUGAUCGAAGAAGUUACGAAUUACUAUACAGUUCAGAAUCGUCGCAUUCUCAAUCUUCUGCAACUGUCGAAAGAAGUUGCGCUUGUCCGGAUCUCGAUCUAUCCUACAGUUUAGUUUAAAUGAAGUUAAAGAUCAAUAAAGCAUGUGAUUUGAGUUCGAUUUCAGUUUUUCCUCCUCACUCCAGGAGAGAAAAUUCAAAUCCAAGGCCUUUGGCAACGGAUUCGGCUUUGGCCAAAACUCAAGGCUAUCAGCUCCGAUCGCAGCAAUCACAGCAGUCGUUCUCGCAAGUUUCAUCCCAGAUUGGAAUGUCGUCUCAGCUCUCUCAGAAUUCUCUUGAUGAGAUUCUAAAUAAUGAACAGAGAAUUGGAUCUCAAGAAAGGAAGAGUUCCAUGAAGAGGGUUUCUUCCUUGCCGCCAAUUGCAUAUACACGAGAUGAAUCUCAGAUGGCAUUGUCAAUAUCUUCCAACAACCCUGCACGCAAAUUGAGCUCUGUUUCAAUUCCAGAUCACAGAUGUCAGGUUUCUGAAGAACUUGAGCAGCGGAUUGGAGUGAUGGAAACUUCACUGAGAAGGUUUGUAAGGGACCUGGAUGCUGUUCAGGGUGAUAUCAUGCAAGUGAGCAAAGCAAUUAAAGAAGUACCAGGAAGGGUCAUUGACUCUGUUCAUGGUGAUAUCAUGCAAGUGAACAAAGCUAUUAAAGAAGUAUCACUGGAAAUGGAAGGCAUAGGGCAGAAGUUGAUCAUUCAGGAUAACUCACUGAAGAAAAUGCUUAAGGGACAGGAUGAUAUCAAAGCCAGCCUCGACGAGAGCUUGAGCUCAAUUCAUGAUCAAUUGAAAAAAGAUUUGCACCAACACAAAUUACAAGAGACUGUUUCUGUGCUUUCUGCUAUACCAAACCAGAUUGAAGGACGAUUACUGAAGUUGCAAAAUGAACUUAAUGAAGCCUUCAGUAAAGAAGUGGAAGUGCGUAUGGCAAUGUCCAGUAGUAUAAAGGCUCCAAACCAGAGUUGUCAGAUACUCACCAGUCAACCACCAAAGAAGAAAGGCCGUCGAGCUGCUCAGUCUCAGAAAGAGCAACCAGUAACCGACACCCAAGAGAAUAUACCUCGUCCCAGUCCAGUGAUGCCUUCAAAGGUUAAAGCACAAGAAAAUCUGAACCCAAAGACAGAAACAGGAAGAUGGAAGUCUGUUAAACCACAAAAAGCAACUUCCUCUAUUAGAGAGGAAAAUACAGAGAAGAAACGGGAGGAAAAUCACCUCAUGGAACAGGCACAGGAAGCUAUUUGAUGGAGGAAACAAGACAAGAAACAGAGCAGAUUUUGAGGAAAGCCAGGAGAAGGCGAAAGAGAAAACUCCUAAAUCCCAUAAUUUUGAACUGAAGAAAAUUCAAAUCUGAGUAAUGCGUGCCACUUCAAAACAGAAAUGCUUCUGAAGCAUUCCUCGAUUAGAAUUUACCUACAGUGGGUGUCAUACUGCAAUUUGAUCUCAUUGGUUUGGUUCAUCUCAGUGAGUUUCUAAUUUUCUAUAAAAAGAUGGAAAUUGCAGUUAGGUGAGGAUUGAGAUUAAAUUGUAGCUCUUUUUUAGAAAGAUAAAGAAGAGAUAUUUUGUUGCCUA